Molecule: small RNA, 640 nt
Filed under: Porites lobata
Lineage: Eukaryota; Metazoa; Cnidaria; Anthozoa; Scleractinia; Poritidae
Description: eukaryotic LSU rRNA
Rfam family: 5.8S ribosomal RNA (bases 241-394)
Source: RNAcentral
GGUGAACCUGCGGAAGGAUCAUUACCGAUGUGAAAGAAUCCAAGGUUAAACAUCAUUAACCAGUGUGAACUGUGAAACAACUCUUUAGGGGUCGGCACAGGCGUGUGUCGUUAAAUGGCGGAUAGGUUCCUUCCGCCAGCCCCGCCAUUGUGUUUAUGAUAUCACUUUGAACGUUAAAGACUGAGAACGUAUGUAUCAUGCAUUAAAUGUAUGAGAAAGAAGGAAAGAAAAAUGAGAGACAACUUUUGACGGUGGAUCUCUUGGCUCACGUAUCGAUGAAGAACGCAGCCAGCUGCGAUAUGUAGUGUGAAUUGCAGAAUUCAGUGAAUCAUUGAAUCUUUGAACGCAAAUGGCGCUCUUGGGUUCUCCCAGGAGCAUGUCUGUCUGAGUGUCGGAUUUUAUCGAACGCACUCGUGAGUGCGGUAUUGAGGUGUCACGGCGUGUUAGCAUUAAAUCGCCGUGUCCCUUGAAGGACAGCAGCAUUGGACUCGCAUUCUCUAUUGAAACUUGAGUGCGAAGGCUAAAGAUAAUAUUUUCCUUCGCCCAAACAUGCAAUAGCAGAAACAAAAUCCAAUCAAAGCGGUGACAGACAAUGACAACAUCAAAUCUUGACCUCAGAUCAGGCAAGGCUACCCGCUGA